Molecule: ribosomal RNA, 446 nt
Filed under: uncultured bacterium
Lineage: Bacteria
Description: partial 16S ribosomal RNA
Rfam family: Bacterial small subunit ribosomal RNA
Source: RNAcentral
CCUACGGGUGGCAGCAGUCGAGAAUCAUUCACAAUGGGGGAAACCCUGAUGGUGCGACGCCGCGUGGGGGAAUGAAGGUCUUCGGAUUGUAAACCUCUUUCAUGUGGGAGCAAAUUAGAAAGAUAGUACCACAAGAGGAAGAGCCGGCUAACUCUGUGCCAGCAGCCGCGGUAAUACAGAGGUCUCAAGCGUUGUUCGGAAUCACUGGGCGUAAAGCGUGCGUAGGUUGUUUCGUAAGUCGUGUGUGAAAGGUGCGGGCUCAACCCGAGGACGGCAGAUGAUACUGGGAGGCUAGAGUAGUGGAGGGGGAAGCGGAAUUCGCGGUGUAGCAGUGAAAUGCUUAGAUAUCGAGAAGAACACUCGUGGCGAAGGCGGGUUCCUGGACAUUAACUGACGCUGAGGCACGAAGGCCAGGGGAGCGAAAGGGAUUAGAUACCCGAGUAGUC